Long non-coding RNA from Echinops telfairi (small Madagascar hedgehog), 355 nucleotides. RefSeq lists it as uncharacterized. The record is from RefSeq and is a predicted model, not a curated record. Lineage: Eukaryota; Metazoa; Chordata; Mammalia; Afrosoricida; Tenrecidae. The transcript has 2 exons.
CAUCCCUGGGGCUGCUACGGGAGGGUCGGAUUUCUUAGCUUUAGAGACUUCAGUCGCACUCCCCACCCCCCAUAUAUUUCUCUCGACCUCACGCCCUGGAAGAAGCAGCGCGGGGCUCCCAGUUUGGCUCUGAAAUCGGUCGCUCCAGAGGCAUCACCCACCUUGGGAAAUACUGGCCUCGAUGAAGAGCAACUGCCAUUCCAACAUGACGACAUCUAUCAGGCAAGAAGUCUGCUUGAGAAAUGCAAAAGUGACAUCGGAGAAGAAGUUUCACACACUCAACUCUGGGAGUUCACACUUAACCGCAAUUGUAGGCCACAGCUUUACGUGUAAAUAAAAGAUUAUUUAAAAAUAA